CCCAACGGCCAACUCGCCCCGAAUGCGUCCGAUUUCGCCAGAUCUCGGAAGCUAAGCAAGACUUGAGCCUGGUUAGUACCGUGGAUAGGAGACUGGCUGCAUUGGGG
This 107-nucleotide ribosomal RNA is filed under the name Petromyzon marinus (sea lamprey). Lineage: Eukaryota; Metazoa; Chordata; Hyperoartia; Petromyzontiformes; Petromyzontidae. The record is from RNAcentral.